Long non-coding RNA from Cryptomeria japonica (Japanese cedar), 1304 nucleotides. RefSeq lists it as uncharacterized. NCBI's taxonomy places the organism in Eukaryota, Viridiplantae, Streptophyta, Pinopsida, Cupressales, Cupressaceae. The record is from RefSeq and is a predicted model, not a curated record. The transcript has 3 exons.
GCCCCGAACGAAUUUUUUUGGUACCCUCGGUUGAAUUUCUUUGACGCAGUUUUCAAUAGAUUGAAGUCUUAAAGCUUGUUUAGAGAUUUCCAUCUUAAGGUUAAGAAUAUGGCCUCUUCGAGUACUGUUGGGUCGUUCAAUAAAUAAACUUUUUAGUGCUAUUUGAAAAGGUGAGAGAGCAUAUUUAAUUUAUAUUUAUAUGUUAGGUUAGGGUUCAUUAUGAUCCCUGAUUUUGCCUAUUCAUAUUAGUUCUAACCAUUGCCUAAAUGUGCCUACAAUGUUAUUUUGUGGUAUAAUCAUUUUUUCCUGUUGUGUUCUUACUUCUUACCAUCGUAUUGAUGGUUUAGGUUUACUUCUGAGUUUUGGAUUUUGUUUGAAGGCCAACCAUUCAGAACUCCCUACCGUAGAGUGUGGUUCAUGAUGUUUGAGUUGUCAAUUUAAAUCUCUUUGCAGCAGAGAACAUCCUUGCAUGAAUGCUCAAUGCACCCAAUUUUGCACGGACCCAGAAACUUUGCUUGCAUUAGCAUGAACUUCAUUUCGUCUAGCUUCUUCUGAAUAGCUAGAUGGCUGACUGCGUGCUUGUUGAGACAGGCUAGAUGGUGUUCUGAAGUGACCAAGUCACUGAGGAAUUGUUGUUCUGUUCAAGCCCAAGAGCCUCUGGACAAUAUUCUUCUAGACUUGAAUACUUUUUGUCUCAAGUACUAUUUCACUGGAUGACAACAUACUUCUAGAUUGCACUGUUGAAACUUGAAGCACAAGCUCAACUUGAUUCAUCAGGAUUUGACAUUCAAUGGAAAAGGAUUCAAGCCUGCCAGAUCACAGGGGAAAAAAUUCCAGUUUCUAUAGAACAAGAGGCUACAAGAUCACUUGGGAACUUGGAUUGGGCAUAUAUCCAGCAGCAAUUAAUGCAGGAGACAGGGUAGACAGUAUUCUAUUUCUGAAAGACAUGGCACUUGUCUUGAAAUGCUUUUCACCAUUCACGUUUCUGCACGACCAUAAAAUUUUGCCUUCUUACACUUCACCAAUUACCUAGGUAUACUGCUAUUUUAAUCUUCACCUCUUAAUUCUUGUAUACAUAGCUAAUUAAUCAUUAUUAGUAAAUAAAAAUGAGUUAAACCAACAAUUUAAGUUCAACGUGUAUAUAUAUGUGUGUACAUAGUAUGUAUAUACAUACAUGUACAUAUAUUGUAUUAAGUCCUGAGUUCGAAUCUGCAGAGCAGCACUGUCAUAGCCCUCAGUCAAAGGAUUUCUUUUCAAUAAUGUGACUCCAUAUUCUUUGGAAACAAAUCUUUCACAUUUUCUUU